GAUGAACGCUGGCGGCGUGCUUAACACAUGCAAGUCGAACGAAUCUUCUUCGGAAGAUGAGUGGCGAACGGGUGAGUAAUACAUAGGUAACCUGCCCCUGUGCGGGGGAUAACAGGAGGAAACUCCUGCUAAUACCGCAUAGCCAUGAGCACCGCAUGGAGCUCAUGCCAAAUAUCCUUUCGGGGAUAGCGCAGGGAUGGACCUAUGGCGCAUUAGCUGGUUGGCGGGGCAACGGCCCACCAAGGCAACGAUGCGUAGCCGGCCUGGGAGGGGGGACGGCCACAUUGGGACUGAGACACGGCCCAGACUCCUACGGGAGGCAGCAGUAGGGAAUUUUCGGCAAUGGGGGAAACCCUGACUGAGCAACGCCGCGUGAGCGAAGAAGGCCUUCGGGUCGUAAAGCUCUGUUGUAAAGGAAGAACGGCGCAUACAGGAAAUGGUAUGCGAGUGACGGUACUUUACCAGAAAGCCACGGCUAACUACGUGCCAGCAGCCGCAGUAA
This 502-nucleotide ribosomal RNA is filed under the name uncultured bacterium. RNAcentral describes it as "partial 16S ribosomal RNA". It matches the Rfam family "Bacterial small subunit ribosomal RNA", at positions 28 to 523 of the family's 1533-position model. The record is from RNAcentral.